Oncorhynchus tshawytscha (Chinook salmon) is the source of this 905-nucleotide long non-coding RNA. The record is from Ensembl. NCBI's taxonomy places the organism in Eukaryota, Metazoa, Chordata, Actinopteri, Salmoniformes, Salmonidae.
GUUCAGGGUGCAGGGUUAAAAUGAGGGUUAGGUUCAGGGUUAUGGGUUAGAAUGCGGGUUAGGGUUAGGCUCAGGGUGCAGGGUUAGAAUGAGGGUUAGGUUCAGGGUUAUGGGUUAGAAUGAGGAUUAGGUUCACGGUGCAGGGUUAGAAUGAGGGUUAGGUUCGGGGUUAUGGGUUAGAUUGAGGGUUAUGGGAUAGAAUUAGGGUUAGAUAGAGGGUUAUUGGUUAGAAUGAGGGUUAGAUUGAGGGUUGGAAUUAGAAUGAGGGAUGUGUUGAGGGUUAGAUUGAGGGUUAGGUUCAGGGUUAUGGGUUAGAAUGAGGGUUAGAUUGAGGGUUAGGGUUAGGUUCAGGGUUAUGGGUUAGAAUGAAGGUUAGAUUGAGGGUUAGGGUUAGAGUGAGGGUUAGAAUUAAAAUGAGGGUUAGGUGCAGGGUUCUGGGCUAGAAUGAGGGUUAGGUUCAGGGUUAUGGUUAAAAUGAGGGUUAGGUUCAGGGUGCGGGGUUAGAAUAAGGGUUAGAUAGAGGGUUAUUGGUUAGAAUGAGGGUUAUGGGAUAGAAUGAAGGUUAGGUUCAUGGUUAUGGCUUAGAAUGAGGGUUAGGUUCAGGGUUAUGGGUUAUAAUGAGGGUUAGAUAGAGGGUUAUUGGUUAGAAUGAGGGUUAGAUUGAGGGUUAUGGAAUAUAAUUAAUGUUAGGUUCAGGGUUAUCGGUUAGAAUGAGGGUUAGAAUGAGGGUUAGAUUGAGGGUUAGGUUCAGGGUUAUGGGUUAGAAUGAGGGUUAGAUUGAGGGUUAGGGUUAGAUUGAGGGUUAUAAUGAGGGUUAGAUAGAGGGUUAUUGAUGAGGUUAUUGGUUAGAAUGAGGGUUAUGGAAUAGAAUUAAGGUUAGCUUCAGGGUUAUCGGUUAGAAUGAG